RNAcentral lists this ribosomal RNA (309 nucleotides) under uncultured eukaryote. Its description in RNAcentral is "partial 18S ribosomal RNA". It matches the Rfam family "Eukaryotic small subunit ribosomal RNA", at positions 1470 to 1796 of the family's 1831-position model. The record is from RNAcentral.
CCCUUAGAUGUUCUGGGCGGCCCGCGCACUACACUGGCACUCUCAAUCAGAGCCUGGAUCUAACACUUUGGGGUAUUCUAUGAAGUGGUGUCGUGACUGGGAUUAACCCUUGCAAUUAUUGGUUACGAACGAGGAAUUCCUUGUAAUCGCGGUUUAUCAGCCCGCGUUGAAUGCGUCCCUGCCCCUUGUACACACCGCCCGUCGCUCCUACCGAUGGAUCGUCCGGUGAAGCUCAUGGAGGGGCGGUUGUCUCAGCUGCCGUCGAAGUGAAAUGGACCUCACGAUCUAGAGGAAGGAGAAGUCGUAACA